CAGAACUCAAAAUAUUUCCAUGCUAUGGCAUCCACUUGCAGGAAACUAAACUUUAUUAGCAGACUAAACGAAAUUGAUUGGGAAAGUGGUUUAGGAGAUUUUAUUGUUAAUUAUUUCACUGACCUUUUUUCUUCCUCCGGAAGUGAUGGUCAGGCAAUUGCGAGUUGUGUUAAAACUCAUCUUUCGAUGGAACAAAAGGAUACUUUGUCGCAACCAUUUCAAAUGGAAGACGUUAAG
RNAcentral lists this unclassified non-coding RNA (237 nucleotides) under Hevea brasiliensis (rubber tree). Lineage: Eukaryota; Viridiplantae; Streptophyta; Magnoliopsida; Malpighiales; Euphorbiaceae. The record is from RNAcentral.